GAGAAGCUUCGACUAAGGUUCGAUUCGAGCGCAGCGAGAAAACGUUGCCGCAGGCAACGACCCGAAGGGUGAGGAGCGGAGCGACGAAUAAUCCUUCCCCCACCACCA
This 108-nucleotide small RNA is filed under the name Salmonella enterica. RNAcentral describes it as "partial RtT sRNA". It matches the Rfam family "RtT RNA", at positions 24 to 130 of the family's 130-position model. From Rfam's summary of the family: This family represents a bacterial cis-regulatory element known as RtT RNA. Lineage: Bacteria; Pseudomonadati; Pseudomonadota; Gammaproteobacteria; Enterobacterales; Enterobacteriaceae. The record is from RNAcentral.